GACGAACGCUGGCGGCGUGCUUAACACAUGCAAGUCGAACGGAAAGGCCCUGCUUUUGUGGGGUGCUCGAGUGGCGAACGGGUGAGUAACACGUGAGUAACCUGCCCUUGACUUUGGGAUAACUUCAGGAAACUGGGGCUAAUACCGGAUAGGAGCUCCUGCUGCAUGGUGGGGGUUGGAAAGUUUCGGCGGUUGGGGAUGGACUCGCGGCUUAUCAGCUUGUUGGUGGGGUAGUGGCUUACCAAGGCUUUGACGGGUAGCCGGCCUGAGAGGGGACCGGCCACAUUGGGACUGAGAUACGGCCCAGACUCCUACGGGAGGCAGCAGUGGGGAAUAUUGCACAAUGGGCGGAAGCCUGAUGCAGCAACGCCGCGUGCGGGAUGACGGCCUUCGGGUUGUAAACCGCUUUCGCCUGUGACGAAGCGUGAGUGACGGUAAUGGGUAAAGAAGCACCGGCUAACUACGUG
This 467-nucleotide ribosomal RNA is filed under the name uncultured bacterium. RNAcentral's name for it is "partial 16S ribosomal RNA". It matches the Rfam family "Bacterial small subunit ribosomal RNA", at positions 28 to 507 of the family's 1533-position model. The record is from RNAcentral.